Non-coding RNA from Acanthosepion pharaonis, 113 nucleotides. NCBI's taxonomy places the organism in Eukaryota, Metazoa, Mollusca, Cephalopoda, Sepiida, Sepiidae. The record is from the annotation of a GenBank genome assembly.
UUACGGUCAAAUCAGAACGAAAACCCCUGUUCUCAUUUGAUCAUCGUAGUUAAACAGUGUUGAGACCGGUCAGUAACUUAGAUGGAGGACCACUUGAGAACGCCGAGUAAUGU